UACGGGGGGGGCAAGCGUUGUUCGGAAUUACUGGGCGUAAAGGGCUCGUAGGCGGCCAACUAAGUCAGACGGGAAAUCCCUCGGCUUAACCGGGGAACUGCGUCUGAUACUGGAUGGCUUGAAUCCGGGAGAGGGAUGCGGAAUUCCAGGUGUAGCGGUGAAAUGCGUAGAUAUCUGGAGGAACACCGGUGGCGAAGGCGGGUCUCUGGGCCGUAACUGACGCUGAGGAGCGAAAGCGUGGGGAGCGAACAGG
Molecule: ribosomal RNA, 253 nt
Filed under: uncultured bacterium
Lineage: Bacteria
Description: partial 16S ribosomal RNA
Rfam family: Bacterial small subunit ribosomal RNA
Source: RNAcentral